AUCAGUUUUAGUUGGCUGACAGUUGUCCGGGCUGCUGGCGAUCCCCAGCCCGCUGUGCUGCGCCAGAGGCGAGGCUGACCUGUCCUGGACCUGGGAGACAAGAGCAGAGAAUGGCAGCGCCUGGAGCGUCGGGGGUGAGGGCUGGCCCAGCGUCCCCACCACUGGGCGAGGCGCCCACAGCAGGGUUUCUCGGGGCCUGGGCUUCGGCAUCGCGGGAUACAACAGAGGAACAUCUCUCUAUGAGUCUCUAUCCAGGGCUUUGUUGGUCGUGGUUACUGGGAUGGAAUAGCCACUAUGAGAAGAAAACCAGAGUGGCCCCAAUAACUGGAAAGCUGGAAGACGUGUCGAGGCCCAGCAGGUACACACACCUCAUUGGGCCACAGUGAAAAGAAUCACUGAGACACAGUGAACAAAGAGGUUUUGGGCUCCCUCCAUCAAAGGAAGUUGUGAACAAAUGAGUGUUUUGGGAUAUAACACCAACCUGUAGAUGCUGAAUGGCUGCCAGAAACAUUAAAACAGAUGCACGCCCAGAGUUAGCAAUAGAGAGGCCAACUGGAUCAGCAUUCCAUGGAAGGUUUGUGAUAGAUAAGUUUGUAAUAGAUAAACUGCCCAUGAUCUUUUUCUCUCAUACUCUAGCUUCUACCCAGCUCUGCCCAAUUGAUUUUCUUCUCUUGAGAUCUUAAUUAUUUUGCUUUCCAAUGUGCUGCCUUAUCCAGUGUUAGCUGUCUGCCACCUGAAGGGUUGGGCUAAGGGAGACAGAGAAGGACGCAUUCCUGUUUAUUGCACUGCUUAUGUAAGUAUCACAGACAUAAACAGAGAGUCAACGAGAACGCCUGCUGAGAUGCUGAAGUGACAAGUUUUGCCCUGGUGAGUUGUAACAUGAGCUAUGUCCUGUUAACCUGUGGCCCAAUGUCUGAUACGCUGUUGUUGCUGCUGUUCCAUCACAGCUGAUCUCAUGCCCAGAUUCCUGCAUGAAUGUGUGAAAAUCCACUAGAACCAGCCUGUUAAUACAGUCAGCCCCAGGGCUGGCGCUGCAGCUCACUGGGCUAAUCCUUUGCCUGCAGCGCUGGUACCCUGGGUCCUAGUCCCGGUUGGGGCGCCAGUUCUGUCCCAGUUGCCCCUCUUCCAGUCCAGCUCUCUGCUGCGGCCCGGGAGUGCAGUGGAGGAUGGCCCAGGUCCUUGGGCCCUGCACCCGCAUGGGAGACCAAGAGGAAGCAUCUGGCUCCUGGCUUCGGAUGGGCGCAGCACGCCGGCCGUGGUGGCCAUUUGGGGAGUGAACCAACGGAAGGAAGACUUUCUCUCUGUCUCUCUCUCUCUCACUAACUCUGCCUGUCUAUAUAUAUAUAUAUAUAUAUAUACACACACACAUAUAUAUAUAUAUAUAUAUAGUCAGCCCCAGAAAAGUCUUCUGAGCUUGAAGCAAAGUUUGGGGGUGGGGAUUUCUGGUAUCUUUAAUAGACAAGAGUAAUGUAUCCCUCUCUCCAAAUGCACUUUACAUGACACAGGGAGAUGUAUAACCAAAUGGGACUGGCAUGGCAGUGGAAUUCAUUUACCUAUCCUUUUAUGUUUCUCAGUGGAGAUCUUUAUGUGGCAAAAUGUCAGAUUACGGGCUCCGUGUAAUCACAUUUGGAACAUGAUCAUAUUAUUUCAGAGCAUUUCAUCAUUUAGAAAACACAUCUUUGCUCUAAUACCUCUUGAUACAAAUUUAAUUUGCUUUUGUGGUUAAGGGUUGCAGGAAGGAUAGUAACAUACCCUUUGUGCUGGCUGCACAACACUUCCAACAGAAACUAGCCAACGCACCCUUCACUGAUCUCCUGAACACGGAGCAGGAAAGUCCACGUUAAGGAUAUAAUGGUCUUUCCACGAAUGCCCAGCUGGACUGGGUCUGUUUCUCUCUGAGCAGGCAUGCGUGAUGAAAGCAGCAAGUCACGUGGGGAGGGCUGGGAGUCGGCAGAGCAAGGAGUGUUGUGUGCAGUUGCAUUACUUUGUUGCCUUGCCAUCAUCUCCAUAGCUUUGAUUUAUGGCAUCUUCCAUUUCAUGUGUCACGAGUUCCUUCUGGUCAGAAAGAAUAAAGAACAAAGCAGGUCUUUGUGCACCUGCCUUCAUUUCUUGUACACUUGCUUUAUCCUACUCGAUCCUAUCGUGAAAAAUGUCAGCAUCUCAAGUUCGCGAUUCCCUAUGCUUCAAUCUACCACCAUUUAUCAUAAAUAGAAUACAAGCAAAUGAGUCUUGGACAUUUAAAAGCUGAUAGAACCCAUGUAAAGAGAAAUUUUGUUAAAAAUUUAAGGAUUGUGGACUUGGUGUAAAAUUCUUCAGGCUUGAUUCUGUGCUGAUGGUAGCACUGCAUAAAUACAAGGAUGAUCAAUUGUCCAAAUUAGAUUGGCCUCUUCCCAACACAAACCAUUGUCUUAAUAAUACCUAACACACUGCACACAUUUGAUAACUUACUAGAUCAAAUAUUCUAAGUUCUGAUAGGCAUAUGAAACACCAAUAAGAACCAACUAUUAAGCUGCUGGCACUUAUAUCGAAGUGAAUCAGAACCAGGUGGAAUGCUGGCAGGCACAAAUGCUUCCUUUGAGUUGAAGGCCCCAUUUGAUGAGCUGUGACUGGUCUCUCUGCUGCAUCUCCUGAAAGUUUUGUCUCCACUCUUGUUUUCACCUGGGUAAGAGGAGUGUACUAUGAUCAACAUAGUGGCUUAUGUCUGGAAGCUAAGAAAGGCUUUCCAGAGGCAGGUGUUGUGGUGCAGAGGGUUAGGCUACCACUUGGAAUGCCUGCAUCCCAUGUUGAAAAGCCUGGAUUUGAGUCCCACCUCCACUUCUGAUCAAACUUUCUGCUGAUGCACACCCUGAGAGGCGACAGGUGAUGGCUGAAGUACUUGGCUCCCUGCCACCCACAUGGGAGGCCUGGGUGGAGUUUCUGGAUCCCGACUUUGGCUAGCCCAGUCCCAACUGUAGCAGGCAUUUUGGAAAUGAACUAGUGAUGAAUUUCUCUCUCUGGAUCUGCCUUUCUAAUAAAAAUUAAUUAAUUACUUAACUUUAAAAAAGAGAAGUCUCAGCCAGCACCGCAGCUCACUGGGCUAAUCCUCCGCCUGCGGUGCCAGCACCCCCGGUUCUAGUCCCAGUUGGGGCGCCGGAUUCUGUCCCGGUUGCUCCUCUUCCAGUCCAGCUCUCUGCUGAGGCCCGGGAGUGCAGUGGAGGAUGGACCAAGUGCUUGGGCCCUGCACCCGCAUGGGAGACCAGGAGGAAGCACCUGGCUCCUGGCUUCGGAUCGGCGCAGUGUGCUGGCCGCAACACACCGGCAGUAGCGGCCAUUUGGGGAGUGAACCAACAGAAGGAAGGAAGACCUUUCUCCAUGUUGCUCUCUCUCUCACUGUCUAACUCUGCCUGUCAAAAAAAUAAAAAAUAAAAAAGAGAAGUCUCUCCAGAUAUAAUGUGGACCUGGUAGGGUGAAUAAUGGCCUCUUUCACCCAAAUCACCCAACUCCUCAUCCCCCAAACCUGUGACUGUGUUAUCCAGGUGUGACCAAUCCAAUCAGCCGAGUCUGAAAGCAGAGAAGCUUCCAGGCCCUGAUGUGAGAGAGUUGGGUCAGAUAGAAGCAACUUGAGGAUUCCACACAGACGGAAGGAAGCCAUCAGCCAGAGAACGUGGGGUCUUUGGAAACUGGGACACUUCAGGGAUGGAGAAAUGAUGACAAAGCUGGAACCAGAAAACUCCGAGCCCCUUUCCACUGAAGAAGAUUUUGUUUGUGGCUGAGCCAGAACUGAAGUCUGUCUGCUUGAGUUCACCUAGGUUUUUUUUUUUUUUUUACCUGCACACACAAUCACAUUUUACAUGUCUAUGCCAAAAUAGCUGGUCAGGUCACCAAAAAAAUAAAACUUCCGUUGGUGGUUUGGACUGUGAGCCUGUAAUAUGCUCUACAGCGAUUUACUUUCUAUGAGUGAAGCUGACCAUCUUUUCAUUUGAUUACUGCUUAUGGUCCUUGCCUACUUCCUGCUGAACGUUUUUAUUUGUCUUUAUUAAGUGGACCAUUAGGCCUUUGAUGAUAAUGUGAAUUAAAAAUGUUAUCUCAAAAAAUAAGAAGCAAAAUAUAAAGCUGGGAAAAAAGCCUGUAAAGACAGAGAUGGUGAAUAUAAUCAAAUUACAGUCAACAGACUUAUGAAUUUUUACUGUAUUAAAAUUAUUUUUCAUCACUGUCUUUUUAAAUUCUUUUAACAAAUAUACACCUGUGUUCAGAACUCAAAAUAUUUUUCCACUGUGCAUGUUACAUAGGUGAUACAGUUAUUCCUUAUGUUGUACACUAUUCAAUUUGUGAACAGUGGGGAAACCAUAACUUUUCUAGCCUUUCCACUGAAUAUCUUGGAAUUAUUCUAAGUAAUUUGGUUUCUUUCUUAAGAGUCCUAAAUUCUGAAAGUUAGCAGGUUUCCCUCUCUAAUCAGCUGUUAAAAAGUAAAGGGCAAAUGCGUAGCCUAAUUUUCUUAGUGCCAAGGGCGCUGGGUGAAUGGAUCAUUCUCCUAUCCUUUAUCCUGACUCUAUUUUGCACUCUCACACUUGGUGCGUUGUUUUUAUAGCCAUUUCUGUGCUACACUACCUUGUUUUACUUGCUCUUCGAAACUUCCAUCUGUUUCUGUGACAAGACAAAUGCAAGUAAAUCUUCAUCGGUUUGACUCUGCUAUACAGCUGUAUUGUUAUCAUAGAUGGAGUCAGAAUUCAGGCCACAGUUUAUCUGGAAUGUAACUAGAAAGUUUUUUCUAACUUGAUUAGUUUACCCUCUUCAACCUUGGGCUGGUCUCGUUUGGAUAAGCGUAUAUCAUGGAGAGGACAGGAGGAAAUCCAAUUAUUUUGUAACUUGUUUACAUAAUUUGAUUUGCCUGAACUACAUCUGAACCUGCAUUUAAACUUGCAGAAGAUAAAUCAUAGAUUUUCUAUAGAAGUAUCGCACACAAAUAUGAAGAGAGGGUAGUGAUCAUUUGUUUUAAAAUCCCUCGUACCAGGUAAUGUGUUCGUUUGAUAGGGAAUUUCCAUGGAGUUGAAAAGCUGUUUGUAUAGCAGAUAAAUGUCUGAAAGAUCAAUGGUAAUGACUUAAACUUCAAAGACUGGUUUUCCCCUAAUAGUUUGCAUUUCUUAGCGCUGAGAAACGAAGAUGCACACUGGAUUGUAGCGAGGCUCAGAAUUGAUCUGAAGAUCCUAGCUGGUUUCUGUCCAUUGCUGAGGGCCUGAGAAUGAUCUGAUUCUGUUUGAAAGUUAAUUUCCUUUAUAAAGCCAAGUUUGUUCUUUCUGAAGAUUCUAUUCACAAGACACCUGAUCUCCAAAGGGAAAUGUUCCCUAGCUGUUCCAUGACAUCAUUCCUUGUAGCUAUUCCAUAGACUUGGAAGGAAUGGACAUGCUGGUAAGAUGCCAUGAGAUUUAAACCUUCUUGAAAACUGAAAGAAAAUACGUGUCAGGAAAUAAACCUGAUCCAAUAAAGCAGAUAAAGGCAGGCCAACAUUGCACCUGCUGGUUCACCUGGUUGGAAUGGAGAAAAUAAGAGGAUGAGACAUCACAGGACGUGUUGUGUCAGCUUGUCCUCCGCAUGUGAUUUAAUAGGUGAUGGAGCAAACAGGUAAUUAUUUCAAAAGGUAGGUAGAUUACAUCUAGGAUUAUAUUAUCCAAUAGAGGAGCUACGACCUACUUGUGGUUAUUUGAAUAUUUAAAAUGUGGCUUGCACAAAUCAAUAUGUAUUGGAAGUGUGAAAUAUAUGCUGGAUUUCCAAGGCUUAGUACGAAGAAUAUAAAGUAUCUAAAUGAUUUCUAUAUUAAUUACCUUUGGGAAUGACAUAUUUUAUAUAAACUUAAUUAAAUAAAAUAUUUUGUAUAUGUAAAAUAUUAAUACAAUAUUAAAAUGUUUCACCAGUAAAAACUCCAGGGCUUGUCAGUAGAAAGUGUUAUAGAAUACUCCAUCAUGAAAUGAGAUUUGUUUUAAUGAUAAUAUUGGUCUCUUACUGAUUUUAUUCCUGGAAAUUUACACUAAGAAAUAAUAGUAAUAGAACCUAUACACACAUCACAUUUUUUUUUUUUUUUUGACAGGCAGAGUGGACAGUGAGAGAGAGAGAGACAGAGAGAAAGGUCUUCCUUUGCCGUUGGUUCACCCUCCAAUGGCCGCCGCGGCCAGCGCGAUGCGACCGGCGCACCGUGCUGAUCCGAUGGCAGGAGCCAGGAGCCAGGUGCUUUUCCUGGUCUCCCAUGGGGUGCAGGGCCCAAGCACCUGGGCCAUCCUCCACUGCACUCCCGGGCCACAGCAGAGAGCUGGCCUGGAAGAGGGGCAACCGGGACAGAAUCCGGCGCCCCGACCGGGACUAGAACCUGGUGUGCCGGCGCCGCUAGGCGGAGGAUUAGCCUAGUGAGCCGCGGCGCCGGCCCACACAUCACAUUUAAUUACUACAAUCACAAAUAUACAUACACACACUCAGCCAAUAGGAAAUACAUAAUGUUCAACAACGGAAGAAUGAACAAGUUUCAGACAGACAACUUAAUGGAAAUUUGUAUAUGUGAAUUUUAUGAUAUGUGGAAAAAUCAUAAAUAAGAUGAUGCGUGAUAUGAUUGUGCUGUACUUGCCUCUAAAAAAUUCCCAGAAAUCAAUUUUCAAAGUCAGAUAGAUGUGCUGAGGUGACAAAAUUAUAGGUGAUUUCUUAUCUUCCAGUGUUAAACAGACGACUGAUACAUCAGGUUUUAUGUUAAGUUUUAAAGCAAUAGGAGAAAAUAAUAUAUUACAAAGAAACCACUAUGACUUCACUUAACCUUAAUUACAUCCAAAAUAUCCUGUCUCCAAAUGCAGUCACAUUAGGGGUGGGGGUUUCCCCCUAGGAAUUUGCGGCAAUGCAAGUGCGUCCACAGUGCUUUGUAGGAUGACCUGACUCAGGCUGCAUUUCCAGAAGCUUGAAAUUGAACUCCAAGUCCAUUUCAAACAAGCUAUGCACGAGAACUCCUGCACAGUCCUUUCUUUCUUUUUUUUUUUUUUUUUUAAGAUUUAUUUAUUUGUUUGAAAGGAAGAGUUAUACAGAGAGAGA
Non-coding RNA from Oryctolagus cuniculus (rabbit), 7041 nucleotides. The record is from RefSeq and is a predicted model, not a curated record. Lineage: Eukaryota; Metazoa; Chordata; Mammalia; Lagomorpha; Leporidae.